AGUGAACGCUGGCGGUAGGCCUAACACAUGCGAGUCGAACGGCAGCACAGUAAGAGCUUGCUCUUACGGGUGGCGAGUGGCGGACGGGUGAGGAAUACAUCGGAAUCUACUUUUUCGUGGGGGAUAACGUAGGGAAACUUACGCUAAUACCGCAUACGACCUACGGGUGAAAGCAGGGGAUCUUCGGACCUUGCGCGGUUGAAUGAGCCGAUGUCGGAUUAGCUAGCUGGCGGGGUAAAGGCCCACCAAGGCGACGAUCCGUAGCUGGUCUGAGAGGAUGAUCAGCCACACUGGAACUGAGACACGGUCCAGACUCCUACGGGAGGCAGCAGUGGGGAAUAUUGGACAAUGGGCGCAAGCCUGAUCCAGCCAUACCGCGUGGGUGAAGAAGGCCUUCGGGUUGUAAAGCCCUUUUGUUGGGAAAGAAAAGCAGCAGGUUAAUACCCCGCUGUUCUGACGGUACCCAAAGAAUAAGCACCGGCUAACUUCGUG
Molecule: ribosomal RNA, 492 nt
Filed under: uncultured bacterium
Lineage: Bacteria
Description: partial 16S ribosomal RNA
Rfam family: Bacterial small subunit ribosomal RNA
Source: RNAcentral